GACCUCCCCUGCUCAGACCAGCCUUUUGCACAGAUCCCACCUCUCCUCCACAGAGCAAAGCCCCUUCCCCUCCACCAGAAAGCCUCAGAGUGAGGCAACAAGGACUUGAACCUCUUCCCCUCCCAGCACUAUAUCUGGCUGGAAGCAAGUGCUCUCACCACUAGACUACUGGGGAGGAAAAAAAAUAAAAAAUCUUGGCAAAUACAGCAACUUCCUCGGGACUUUGAUGUUUGAUUGUGGAAGGCUGUGAAAGGGUGAGGCCAUCCAUAUACCUAAGGCAGUCAGGAGCAAAGGCAUGAAAAGGAGACUUUUUUUCAAGAAACAUACACUUUUGUGAUUUUUUACUGGAGUUGGGGUAUUUUUGCUAUUGAUCAUAGUGGCAGCAAAGGCAGGUCUAGACUGUGCAUGUAUCAGGCUGAUACAACACAAGUUCUCCCACCUAUGGCUAGUCAAAAGCCUUGAUUUCAGUAGAAAAGCUUACUCACCAUACAAUGGCCCAUCAAAUAAUGCCACCUGGCCUGCACUAAUCAGAUCUGACUGUAAAAUGUAUGAGUGGCUCUGACAGUAACAGAAACAGGAUGUUGGUGGUUGGCAGGAAGUUCAGGUGUUAGAAUACAAGAAAGUCAGAAGUGCUUCCUCAUCGGCACUUGGGUUUACAUCUAUCAGAAAGUAUUUGACCUAAUUUAGGAGAAUCAUGCUGCACAUCAGGUUAAUUGGCACCUCAUCAAAGAUAAAUUUGAAUUUGCUUGCUCUUGAAUUUCCUCAGCUUGCCAGUGCUCAAAUAUUUAACAGCUCCAUUCUGCUUUUUUUUUUCUUCCUCACAACACGAAUAACAGUGAGGUUUUAUGAGAAGGCUCCUACAUAAAUGAAAUCCUUUGAUUCUCCAUUUCAUAUAUGACUUUCCUAAUACACAAGGGACUUCAGGCUUAGAUACGGUCAUUCGGUCAACUGCUCUGACAUGUAAUCACAUGUAAGACCUACUGAAUGUUGAGGAUAAGGCCUCCUCUAUGAAAUUCUUGACUGUUCAUCCCUCACAGAAAGAUACCAUAUAUUUAUGCUGCUCAGUGCAGACUUACUUCUGCCCUGUGGCCUUAUACCUAGCUAUGGAUGACUGUGUAAUGAAAUAACCAGACCUGCACCGAGCUCUGGAUGAUGGAUACGUGCUCCUUACAGCCUGUUUUCCAGCAGCCUCUGUUUUUCAGCAAGCACACAGAAGCCUUGGGUGAAGACCCUCCACCAACGCCAGAACUGGGCACACCUGGAGGACAUGUUGUUCCAUGAAGUCCGCUGCUCACUCUUAUUGAUGCAGGGAGAAGAAAUAAGAAAAAUGCUUGUAUAUUGUAUUCCACUAGUGCUCUAUAAACCUAAUAGCUGGACUUUGACCAAUAUUUAGCUACCAGUUCCUAUGGAAAGGGGUUUGGUUGCUUUGCAUAAACAACCCAGGCUUUGCAGAGAGCUUUCUACAGAGGCAACAGAGAGAAAUCACAUCACAAAACCAUUCACUCUUCUUUUCCACCCCAGUGACGCUUAAGGAGUUUAUUUGCACUUGCACACAAUCUGUGGGAUGGGAAUCCCGUUUAAAACAACUCUGCAGGCUUCAGACGCCUUGCAAAAGUGCUGCACUAGUGCUUUCUCUGCCUUGCUGCAAGUGAGCAAGGCAGAGAAAGGACAGAGAGGA
Long non-coding RNA from Anas platyrhynchos (mallard), 1678 nucleotides. RefSeq lists it as uncharacterized. The record is from RefSeq and is a predicted model, not a curated record. NCBI's taxonomy places the organism in Eukaryota, Metazoa, Chordata, Aves, Anseriformes, Anatidae.